Molecule: non-coding RNA, 97 nt
Organism: Coprinopsis sp. MPI-PUGE-AT-0042
Lineage: Eukaryota; Fungi; Basidiomycota; Agaricomycetes; Agaricales; Psathyrellaceae
Source: the annotation of a GenBank genome assembly
ACACCGAUGGUGAAGUGGUUAUCAUGCUUGCCUUCCAUGGAACGGGAAUCGAACCCGCCGGCAGCAAGCGGCACGGGUUCGAUUCCCGUUCGGUGUA